GAUGAACGCUAGCUACAGGCUUAACACAUGCAAGUCGAGGGGCAGCAUUUCAGUUUGCUUGCAAACUGGAGAUGGCGACCGGCGCACGGGUGAGUAACACGUAUCCAACCUGCCGAUAACUCGGGGAUAGCCUUUCGAAAGAAAGAUUAAUACCCGAUGGUAUAAUCAGACCGCAUGGUCUUGUUAUUAAAGAAUUUCGGUUAUCGAUGGGGAUGCGUUCCAUUAGGCAGUUGGUGAGGUAACGGCUCACCAAACCUUCGAUGGAUAGGGGUUCUGAGAGGAAGGUCCCCCACAUUGGAACUGAGACACGGUCCAAACUCCUACGGGAGGCAGCAGUGAGGAAUAUUGGUCAAUGGGCGCAGGCCUGAACCAGCCAAGUAGCGUGAAGGAUGACUGCCCUAUGGGUUGUAAACUUCUUUUAUAUGGGAAUAAAGUUUUCCACGUGUGGAAUUUUGUAUGUACCAUAUGAAUAAGGAUCGGCUAACUCCGUGCCAGCAGCCGCGGUAAUACGGAGGAUCCGAGCGUUAUCCGGAUUUAUUGGGUUUAAAGGGAGCGUAGGUGGACAGUUAAGUCAGUUGUGAAAGUUUGCGGCUCAACCGUAAAAUUGCAGUUGAUACUGGCUGUCUUGAGUACAGUAGAGGUGGGCGGAAUUCGUGGUGUAGCGGUGAAAUGCUUAGAUAUCACGAAGAACUCCGAUUGCGAAGGCAGCUCACUGGACUGCAACUGACACUGAUGCUCGAAAGUGUGGGUAUCAAACAGGAUUAGAUACCCUGGUAGUCCACACAGUAAACGAUGAAUACUCGCUGUUUGCGAUAUACAGUAAGCGGCCAAGCGAAAGCAUUAAGUAUUCCACCUGGGGAGUACGCCGGCAACGGUGAAACUCAAAGGAAUUGACGGGGGCCCGCACAAGCGGAGGAACAUGUGGUUUAAUUCGAUGAUACGCGAGGAACCUUACCCGGGCUUAAAUUGCAUUUGAAUAUAUUGGAAACAGUAUAGCCGUAAGGCAAAUGUGAAGGUGCUGCAUGGUUGUCGUCAGCUCGUGCCGUGAGGUGUCGGCUUAAGUGCCAUAACGAGCGCAACCCUUAUCUUUAGUUACUAACAGGUCAUGCUGAGGACUCUAGAGAGACUGCCGUCGUAAGAUGUGAGGAAGGUGGGGAGGACGUCAAAUCAGCACGGCCCUUACGUCCGGGGCUACACACGUGUUACAAUGGGGGGUACAGAAGGCAGCUACCUGGUGACAGGAUGCUAAUCCCAAAAGCCUCUCUCAGUUCGGAUCGAAGUCUGCAACCCGACUUCGUGAAGCUGGAUUCGCUAGUAAUCGCGCAUCAGCCAUGGCGCGGUGAAUACGUUCCCGGGCCU
Molecule: ribosomal RNA, 1359 nt
Filed under: uncultured bacterium
Lineage: Bacteria
Description: bacterial SSU rRNA
Rfam family: Bacterial small subunit ribosomal RNA
Source: RNAcentral